CGUGGUUGCUGGAAUUCCACUUCUCUGUCCAUUGUGCUUCCCGUGCCCUCGAUUUCUUCCCAAAAACUCCAAGAAUGAUGAGAAGGAUUUUCCCAGAUUGAGAGAUAAACCAAAAGUCCCAAACUCAUUUAUGGGAAAAACAAGAUGGAGAGAACUCCACGGCAAAAAUGUUCAUAACUCUCAAAUCACGGCGCCGAAGAAGGUAUUUUCCUCUUGCUUGUAUUCAUCUUCUUUUUUGUUGAACCACAUCUACCGUAAUCAACAGUCGGCGCCUCCAUUCAUCUUUGACCUUCCAACCAUCGCAACACCACCAAAUUCGCACGACCACCACCAUGCAAACACCAUUGCUUCCGCAUGCUACCACCGUUGACACCACAACCACCCAAACACUAUCGCAACCGCGUGCCGCCACUGAAAUAAUGCCAGAUCUGUACCCUAAACCCCCUUCAUGCAGCAGAUCUAUUCCCUAAACCAGGAGUGCGCUCAGUGCCUGCUUCACUUUGCGAAUCCGAGCUCGCUACAUUUCCUAUUCUUGUUAAAGUUUGUUUUAUAUGUACAGCCUACUUGGACUUGCUCUGCUUGCUGAAUGUGUUAGCUUCCUGACUGAUACUCAAAAACUUCAAGGCAAAUUGCAUAUUUCACCGGCCCAACAGUUGGAGGUCUUCUGAAUGCAACAUGUGCAAAUGCAACCGAGAUGAUCAUAGCAUGAUUAGCACUUCACCAGAACAAAGUUCAUGUUGUGAGGUUGUCCCUGCUGGGUUCCAUUCUCUCAAACCUUCUCUUGGUUCUUGGCAGUGCACUCCUCUAUGGUGGUUUAGCCAAUCUUAAGAGAGAACAAAAAUACGACAGAGAUGUGGCAAUUGCUUAUGGAUUCAAUGCUAUUAGGUAUCAAGCAGUAGUAGAUAAUAAAGGCUCGAAGAGGAAUAUAUUCAAGAUGACAUUGGCUGGGCUAAAGUUGAAUUUGAAGACAACAAAGUGAUACACUAUGCUAAACAAAGAAGAAGAUUCAAAUAAAUUGGAAAUAGUGAAGAUAAGUUUUCUGAUGCCUUGUUAUUUCCUUUGAUAAAUUUUACCUUCUCUCUUUGAAUUAAUUUCAUUUUUGCUAUUAAAUGACCUUAUACUAAAAUUUUAACAUUUUCUUCUUAAAAUUCAGGUUGCAGUGUACCCAGGAAAUGUCUUGGCCUUGCACAUGUCUAAACCACAAUGAUUUAAGUACUCUAGUUGACAGUAUAUUUUUUUGAGCUGCCCAGAUGUCUCGCCUUUUCAAUGGUAAUUCAACAUUUAACAUUUAAUAUCAGCACCGUCUUAGAAACUACAUAUUUCCACAAUAUUCCUGACAUCAGCACCGAUGUGGAAACAGACAUAUUCUACAUCGUUUACCAAGGGAUGACCGACUUAGAAGAUGUAAUUUCUACAUCGGUGGUGGGCUGAGGACCGAUGUAGAAAACGUUAUAUUUCUACAACGGUGGAUUUUGGAACGAUGUUCAAACAUAACACUAACAACGACGUCGUAUUCUACAUCGGUUGAGCACCGAUGUAGAAUGUCGUUUUUGACCGAUGUAAAAAGCGCGCUUUCUAGUAGUGUUACUCAAACUAGACAAAUAUCCAUGCGUUGUGCGGAUUUGUAAAUCAUUAAAGAAAUAUUUGAAUAAAUUAUUUAUUUACUAAAUCAAA
Molecule: long non-coding RNA, 1674 nt
Organism: Glycine soja
Lineage: Eukaryota; Viridiplantae; Streptophyta; Magnoliopsida; Fabales; Fabaceae
Exons: 7
Source: RefSeq, a predicted model, not a curated record